GACGAACGCUGGCGGCGUGCUUAACACAUGCAAGUCGAACGGAAAGGCCCUGCUUUUGUGGGGUGCUCGAGUGGCGAACGGGUGAGUAACACGUGAGUAACCUGCCCUUGACUUUGGGAUAACUUCAGGAAACUGGGGCUAAUACCGGAUAGGAGCUCCUGCUGCAUGGUGGGGGUUGGAAAGUUUCGGCGGUUGGGGAUGGACUCGCGGCUUAUCAGCUUGUUGGUGGGGUAGUGGCUUACCAAGGCUUUGACGGGUAGCCGGCCUGAGAGGGUGACCGGCCACAUUGGGACUGAGAUACGGCCCAGACUCCUACGGGAGGCAGCAGUGGAGAAUAGUGCACAAUGGGCGGAAGCCUGAUGCAGCAACGCCGCGUGCGGGAUGACGGCCUUCGGGUUGUAAACCGCUUUCGCCUGUGACGAAGCGUGAGUGACGGUAAUGGGUAAAGAAGCACCGGCUAACUACGUG
Molecule: ribosomal RNA, 468 nt
Filed under: uncultured bacterium
Lineage: Bacteria
Description: partial 16S ribosomal RNA
Rfam family: Bacterial small subunit ribosomal RNA
Source: RNAcentral